AACGUAGGAGGCGAGCGUUAUCCGGAUUUACUGGGUGUAAAGCGCGUGCAGGCGGUAUGGUAAGUUGGGUGUGAAAGCUCCCGGCUCAACUGGGAGAGGUUGCUCAAGACUGCCAAACUAGAGAGUGGUAAGGGAAGGCGGAAUUCCGGGUGUAGUGGUGAAAUGCGUAGAUAUCCGGAGGAACACCAGUGGCGAAAGCGGCCUUCUGGGCCAGUACUGACGCUCAGACGCGAAAGCCAGGGGAGCAAACGGG
RNAcentral lists this ribosomal RNA (253 nucleotides) under uncultured bacterium. RNAcentral describes it as "partial 16S ribosomal RNA". It matches the Rfam family "Bacterial small subunit ribosomal RNA", at positions 524 to 776 of the family's 1533-position model. The record is from RNAcentral.